GCCUUCGUCUCUCCUGCCAGCCUCAGCUGGGUCGUCUUCUGUGCUCGGCGUGCUUUGCUCGGGGAAGCUCAGGUGGCCGCCACAGCCUCUUGCCCUCUGACCUGCAGGUAUCAGGAGAUCCAUAGCUAAGCAGCCUGGACACCCGGGAAGCUGGGAAAUGGUGUGAUUUGUCCAGAUAAUCUCACCUGAGAAGGAAUCCCAGAGAAGAAGGAAGAAGAGGAAGAAAUGGCUGGUUCUCAGGUGAAUGUGUCUGGGUUCAGGGGAUGUGUCUCCUCUUUUCUUCUGGGAUGUUAUGUGUUUAGAACUUGCAAACCUUUAUUUCUGUACUUCUGAUGUACCUGCCUAAUGUGUUUCUUCCCAACUACCUUCCCCCCUUCCCCCCUCCUUUCUUAUGAUUGAUAAGGAACUCUGUAAAAUCCUUCCUCCUGUGUACCAGAACCUUCUCUCCAUUCCCUCCUUCCAGGCUUCUUAUAUGUCAUGACCAAAUCUUACCAUUAAUGUAUGAUGGGCAGUAUUCAGAUGUUCUGUGACAUAUCAACAUGGGAAAGUGUGGAUCCCCAGGAUUAUCCGUGGGGAUGGGGCUGGGUCUUGGGAUGUCAGUGAAGAAGGGGAUCAUGUACCGUUUAGAUUUCAUCCACAUGCUCCAUCAUCUCUAUGCAGAACAGAAUUAAGAAAAGAGACAUUUAAAGAGGAUGGCAUUCAUUGCCUGGAAUAACUUAAAGUUCUGAAAAGAGAAUAAUUAGAAGACAUUUGCUGUCUAGGAUGCUAAAGAAACACUAUUGAAAUACCCUAUUGCAGAUUAAAGAACCAGGGAAACAGCUAUAGCUUGAACUUUGCAUAAAACUGAUGUUUCUGGCCAGGCACUGUGGCUCACACCUGUAAUCCCAGCACUUUGGGAGGCUGAGGCGGGCAGAUCACUUGAGGUCAGGAGUUCAAGACCAGCCUGGCUAACAUGAUGAAACCCCAUCUCUACUAAAAAUACAAAAAUUAACUGGGCAUGGUGGUGCACGCCUGUAAUCCCAGCUAUUUGGGAGGCUGAGGUGGGAGAAUCACUGGAACCUGGGAAGCAGAGGCUGCAGUGAGCCAAGAUUGCACCAUUGCACUCCAGCCUGAGCGACAGAGCAAGACUGUCUCCAAAAAACAAAACAAAAAAAGGAUGUUUCUACAUGAUUAGGUUCAGAUUGUAAUUUACUAUUUUUGUGGUCAAUAAUAUUAGAGCAGUGAUACUUUGUCCUUGAUGUCAUGUGAUCCUUGAUGUCAUUUUAUCCUUGACAUCUUUGAUGUUGAUUUAUCCUAUUAUAGUUGAUCUUAAUUUUAUUUACUUGGUUAAGGUGCUCUCUGCCAGAUUUUUGCACGAUAGAGAUAUUUUUUUCAUUAUUGUUUAGUACCUUGGGGAGAUUUACUGACUGAUACAUAUAAGCCAUCACAUUUAAUUAGGAAGCUCUUCUUUCUUUUUAGAUUCUCCUCGCUUAUAGCUUGCUUUGGAAAAUGAAGGCUCUCGUGUUUGUUUAUUGGUUAGAUAAACUGAAAUAAACACAGGCUCUGCCACUUCCUGCAUGUUUGAAAAAAUAUUUUCCUUGGCCCAGACACAGUGGCAUCACUGUAUGGCUCACUUAGAAAUUCAGAGACUCAGGCUUCACCCUAGGUCCUCUGAAUCACAACCUGCAUUUUAAGAGGAUCUCUAGUUUAUUGUGUACGCAUUAAAAUUUCAGGGGUACCUUCUGAUGAAUCAUGACCUCUACAUAUGAGAAAUAUUUACAGUUUAUCCUGUGUGAGGUAAAUAGAGCAGGAAAAAAUGUAUAUGCCUGCGUUGAUGCCCUUAAUUUUAUACUGUAUUAUUCACAAGAGUAGAAUAUGUACACUGGUUAUGUGGAGCUUAUGCCAUCCUCUUUCUUCAGGAUUAAAGAAUAUGUUAGAGAAUAUUUCUGUGUUUACAAUUAUUUGAUCAUUUCAGUCUCUUCUAUAAGUAAGAACCAGUUCUCUCUGUCUCUCUUUGUGCCUGGAAUCAGAUUAAGAACUCUGCCCAUGACCACUUGAUACGUAUGUGUUUUUUCUUUGCCAGGGACUGUUGAUAUUCAGGGAUGUGGCCAUAGAAUUCUCUCCGGAGGAGUGGAGCUAUCUGGACCCUGCUCAGCAGAAUCUGUAUAGGGACGUGAUGUUAGAAAACUACAGAAACCUGGUCUCCCUGGGUAUUGCUGUCUCUAAGCCAGACCUGAUCACCUGUCUAGAGCAAAGGAAUGAGCCCUGGAAUGUGAAGAAACAUGAGACAGUAGCCAGACACCCAGGUAGGUGGGAGUAAAUGAA
RNAcentral lists this long non-coding RNA (2304 nucleotides) under Homo sapiens (human). RNAcentral describes it as "non-protein coding lnc-ZNF124-2:2". The record is from RNAcentral. Lineage: Eukaryota; Metazoa; Chordata; Mammalia; Primates; Hominidae.